Molecule: ribosomal RNA, 730 nt
Filed under: uncultured bacterium
Lineage: Bacteria
Description: bacterial SSU rRNA
Rfam family: Bacterial small subunit ribosomal RNA
Source: RNAcentral
AACAGGAUUAGAUACCCUGGUAGUCCACGCCGUAAACGAUGUCGACUUGGAGGUUGUGCCCUUGAGGCGUGGCUUCCGGAGCUAACGCGUUAAGUCGACCGCCUGGGGAGUACGGCCGCAAGGUUAAAACUCAAAUGAAUUGACGGGGGCCCGCACAAGCGGUGGAGCAUGUGGUUUAAUUCGAUGCAACGCGAAGAACCUUACCUGGCCUUGACAUCCACAGAACUUUCCAGAGAUGGAUUGGUGCCUUCGGGAACUGUGAGACAGGUGCUGCAUGGCUGUCGUCAGCUCGUGUUGUGAAAUGUUGGGUUAAGUCCCGCAACGAGCGCAACCCUUAUCCUUUGUUGCCAGCGAUUCGGUCGGGAACUCAAAGGAGACUGCCGGUGAUAAACCGGAGGAAGGUGGGGAUGACGUCAAGUCAUCAUGGCCCUUACGGCCAGGGCUACACACGUGCUACAAUGGCGCAUACAAAGAGAAGCGACCUCGCGAGAGCAAGCGGACCUCACAAAGUGCGUCGUAGUCCGGAUCGGAGUCUGCAACUCGACUCCGUGAAGUCGGAAUCGCUAGUAAUCGUGGAUCAGAAUGCCACGGUGAAUACGUUCCCGGGCCUUGUACACACCGCCCGUCACACCAUGGGAGUGGGUUGCAAAAGAAGUAGGUAGCUUAACCUUCGGGAGGGCGCUUACCACUUUGUGAUUCAUGACUGGGGUGAAGUCGUAACAAGGUAACC